Molecule: ribosomal RNA, 305 nt
Filed under: uncultured bacterium
Lineage: Bacteria
Description: bacterial SSU rRNA
Rfam family: Bacterial small subunit ribosomal RNA
Source: RNAcentral
GCCUACGGGGGGCAGCAGUGAGGAAUAUUGGUCAAUGGUCGGGAGACUGAACCAGCCAAGCCGCGUGAGGGAUGAAGGUACAGAGUACCGUAAACCUCUUUUGUCAGGGAACAAAGGCGGGGACGUGUCCCCGGAUGAGUGUACCUGAAGAAAAAGCAUCGGCUAACUCCGUGCCAGCAGCCGCGGUAAUACGGAGGAUGCGAGCGUUAUCCGGAUUUAUUGGGUUUAAAGGGUGCGCAGGCGGUCUGUUAAGUCAGCGGUAAAAUCGCGGGGCUCAACCUCGCCCCGCCGUUGAAACUGGCGUU